Molecule: ribosomal RNA, 471 nt
Filed under: Salmonella enterica
Lineage: Bacteria; Pseudomonadati; Pseudomonadota; Gammaproteobacteria; Enterobacterales; Enterobacteriaceae
Description: bacterial SSU rRNA
Rfam family: Bacterial small subunit ribosomal RNA
Source: RNAcentral
AAAUUGAAGAGUUUGAUCAUGGCUCAGAUUGAACGCUGGCGGCAGGCCUAACACAUGCAAGUCGAACGGUAACAGGAAGCAGCUUGCUGCUUUGCUGACGAGUGGCGGACGGGUGAGUAAUGUCUGGGAAACUACCUGAUGGAGGGGGAUAACUACUGGAAACGGUGGCUAAUACCGCAUAACGUCGCAAGACCAAAGAGGGGGACCUUCGGGCCUCUUGCCAUCAGAUGUGCCCAGAUGGGAUUAGCUUGUUGGUGAGGUAACGGCUCACCAAGGCGACGAUCCCUAGCUGGUCUGAGAGGAUGACCAGCCACACUGGAACUGAGACACGGUCCAGACUCCUACGGGAGGCAGCAGUGGGGAAUAUUGCACAAUGGGCGCAAGCCUGAUGCAGCCAUGCCGCGUGUAUGAAGAAGGCCUUCGGGUUGUAAAGUACUUUCAGCGGGGAGGAAGGUGUUGUGGUUAAUAACC